Oryctolagus cuniculus (rabbit) is the source of this 1374-nucleotide non-coding RNA. Lineage: Eukaryota; Metazoa; Chordata; Mammalia; Lagomorpha; Leporidae. The record is from RefSeq and is a predicted model, not a curated record.
GAUUAAAUGCCUCCCAGAAUACUGGGCUGCAAACGGAGAGGCAGAAGUGAAGUGAGGAAACUCAGGGUUGCGUUCCUUCGUAUCUGCGUCCUGAGAAGGAAGCGGCAGGCAUAUGCUUCAUCAUUAAAUAAAACACAAAACCCUCCGUUGCUCUGCUCCCUCGUGCACUGUCACACUUGCAAGCAGCCUGCCAACAGACCGAUGCGUAUUUACGUGGAGCAAAUACCAGUGUCCAAAGAGUUAAAGAAAUUCCCGAAAGCAUCAAGAAAGGCGAAUAAAGAGAUCAAGUUCAAACUCUCAUAAUCUGCAUUUGCCACCUGACUUUAUCUCUACCUGUCUGUAACUGAUUUGCUCUGAGCUUCCCAAGGAGGGAGUCCAGUGCGGUAGUUCCAGGGACACAGUGCAGCUUCCUACUGGCACUGGGAGCUGCAGUCACAGGUCAAGAAAUCCUGGCUCUCCUGCUCUUUGCCCCAACUUCCUCCUUUAAUCAUUUGCUUUGCUUAUGGGGCUGAAGCUAACGUAGGCAUUUGAGAAUAACGAUGCUGCCACGGCAGGACAAGACUGCUGGAUCCAGGGAUUCACACUGAGACUCGGUCAGCUGACACCUCCCUGAGCAGUGCCCAUGAUAGAUGGCAUCGGAAUGGAGACGGAGAUGAAGGGCCCGAUUGCCAACCAGCCACGUUACAGUGUGAUGCAAUACGUUGCUCCGCUCCCAUCUCGCACAAUAAGCCACGUGACAGCACGUCAAGACAUUUGUGGAAAAAUGGAAUUAACAGGUAAUUAAAGGGAAGCAGGAGUACAGACCGUGUAGCCAUGUCUGGAUUUACAGUGUCACUCACCAGCCAUGUGACCUUGGGAAAGCCCCGUAACCGAGCACAUGAGGGGCCACCUUUUGAGGAAGCCAGUGAACAAGGUGACAGCCGCGUGCAUCUCUGAGGACCACUGUGACUACCCCGUGAGUUAAGACUGAGACACACCUGGAGAAAACGAGAGAACUAUAAAAGAAUCUACAAUAAGAGAAAGAAAAACACCCUGGCUUGACAGCAGUGCACAAAAAUAAACCCUAGAAAAUGCGCAGAUGAUAAUAAAGCGAUCGUGCCAAAGAUGGGCAUUUCUAGAAAUGAUGUGUGCUGGAGACGACUGGGUAUGUGGCCGCCGCCGAUCUGUAGGGCCCCGGCUUCCUCAUUAGCCAACUUUGUUUAAAAAAUGUUGUUUAUUUACAAGUGCAGAAGUUUCAAUGUCCCUAGCCAGAAAUGCUUUUUUCUUAUUUUUUGGGGGGGAGGGGAGGGGGAGAAGCAUGGAUCAUACCUUAGAGCUGUCAACAAAACUAUGUGAUUUUUUAAAAUUAUCCUAAACCCCCAACUUAUACAUAAA